UUCUGACCGUAAACGAUGCCAACUAGCGAUCCGCCGGUGGCCCUAUGGCCCUGGUGGGGAGCUUCCCGGAAACGAAAGUCUUCCGGUUCCGGGGGAAGUAUGGUUGCAAAGCUGAAACUUAAAGGAAUUGACGGAAGGGCACCACCAGAGGUGGAGCCUGCGGCUUAAUUUGACUCAACACGGGAAAACUCACCCGGCCCGGACACCGUGAGGAUUGACAGAUUGAUAGCUUUUUCAUGAUUCGGUGGUUGGUGGUGCAUGGCCGUUCUUAGUUCGUGGAUCGAUUUGUCUGGUUUAUUCCGAUAACGAGCGAGACUCCAGCCUACUAAAUAGUGCUAGCAUUGCUACUGUGCCAUGCACUUCUUAGAGGGAUUGGCUGCGUCUAGCGGCACGAAACGGAGCAAUAACAGGUCUGUGAUGCCCUUAGAUGUCCGGGGCUGCACGCGCGCUACACUGGCAAAGGCAACGUGCUUGUCCGUCUCCGAAAGGAGCCGGUAAACCCUUGAAAAUUUGCCGUGAUUGGGAUCGGAAAUUGCAAUUAUUUUCCGUGAACGAGGAAUCUCUAGUAAGUGCGAGUCAUCAGCUCGCGUUG
This 592-nucleotide ribosomal RNA is filed under the name Hemicycliophora gracilis. Its description in RNAcentral is "SSU rRNA". It matches the Rfam family "Eukaryotic small subunit ribosomal RNA", at positions 1024 to 1643 of the family's 1831-position model. The record is from RNAcentral. Lineage: Eukaryota; Metazoa; Nematoda; Chromadorea; Rhabditida; Hemicycliophoridae.